RNAcentral lists this ribosomal RNA (752 nucleotides) under uncultured Bacteroidales bacterium. Its description in RNAcentral is "bacterial SSU rRNA". It matches the Rfam family "Bacterial small subunit ribosomal RNA", at positions 28 to 776 of the family's 1533-position model. The record is from RNAcentral. Lineage: Bacteria; Pseudomonadati; Bacteroidota; Bacteroidia; Bacteroidales.
GAUGAACGCUUGCGGCAGGCUUAAUACAUGCAAGUCGAACGGUAACAGGGUCUUCGGACUGCUGACGAGUGGCGGAUGGGUGAGUAACGCGUAUGCAACCUUCCUCACACCGAGAAAAAGUCGACUGAAAAGUUGAAUAAAGUCUCGUGGUGUGCAUUUCUCGCAUGAGAGAUGUAUGAUAGAAGCAAUUUGGUGUGAGAUGGGCAUGCGUAUCAUUAGCUAGUUGGUAAGGUAACGGCUUACCAAGGCUACGAUGAUUAGGGGGCCUGAGAGGGUGGUCCCCCACACUGGGACUGAGACACAGCCCAGACUCCUACGGGAGGCAGCAGUAGGGAAUAUUGGUCAAUGGGCGGAAGCCUGAACCAGCCAUGCCGCGUGAUGGAUGACGGCCUUAGGGUUGUAAACAUCUUUUCUGCUAGAGGAAUAGAGUUCACGUGUGGACAGACGACUGUAUAGCAGGAAUAAGGAUCGGCUAACUCCGUGCCAGCAGCCGCGGUAAUACGGAGGAUUCGAGCGUUAUCCGGAUUUACUGGGUUUAAAGGGUGCGCAGGCGGGCUCUUAAGUCAGCGGUGAAAUGUCUGGGCUUACCCUAGGAAUUGCCGUUGAUACUGGGAGUCUUGGAUAAGCAUAAGGACGGCGGAAUGCGUAGUGUAGCGGUGAAAUGCUUAGAUAUUACGUAGAAGACCAAUUGCGAAGGCAGCUGUCUGUGUCUUUAUCGACGCUCAAGCACGAAAGCGUGGGGAGCAAACAGG